This 161-nucleotide small RNA is filed under the name Mytilus galloprovincialis (Mediterranean mussel). Lineage: Eukaryota; Metazoa; Mollusca; Bivalvia; Mytilida; Mytilidae. The record is from RNAcentral.
GAAAUAAUUGGUGCAAGCUAUACUUUAUUGUAGUUUUAACAUGGGUAGGCAUUAUAUUCGUGUUAUUUUAGCCCUCACUAUCGCCCUGGCAAAAAUAAUUACGAAUAUAAUGCCUGCCCAUGUUAAAACUACAAUAAAGUGUAGCUUGUAUCAAUUAUUUC